This is a non-coding RNA of Caretta caretta (loggerhead turtle), 3073 nucleotides long. The record is from RefSeq and is a predicted model, not a curated record. NCBI's taxonomy places the organism in Eukaryota, Metazoa, Chordata, Testudines, Cheloniidae.
CAGCCCUCCCCAGUUCCCAGCAGCGCGGCAGCGCCGGAAAGGAGGCGAGCGAGGCCUGCGCUUUGCGGCUGCGUCGUGCCUGGCGCCGGUGAGCCCGCGCCAUGGCGGACAUGGAGGACCUGUUCGGGAGCGAUGUCGACUCCGAGCCCGAGCAGAAAGAUUCUGACUCUGGAUCUGACUCUGACUCUGAUCAGGAGAAUGCUGGCUCUGGCAGUAAUGUUUCUGGAAGUGAGAGUGACAGAGAUGAUGACAGAGAGGCAGUAAAGCCCAGUAAUAAAGAAUUAUUUGGAGAUGAUAGUGAGGAUGAGGGAGCAUCUCACCAUACUGGGAGUGACAUUCGGUCUGAAAGAUCGUACAAUCACUCUGAAGCUUCGGGACAUUCUGAGCAUGAAGAUAAUGACCAGUCAGAUAUAGAUCAGCAUAGUGGUUCAGAAGCUGCUGAUGACGAUGAUGACAGAGGACACGGAUCAGAUGAAGGUAGCCGUCGCUCAGAUGCAGAUGGAUCUGAAAAAGCAAAUUCGGAGGAUGAAAAAUGGGGCAAAGAGGACAAAAGUGAUCAGUCAGAUGAUGAUGAGAAGCUCCAGAAUUCUGAUGAUGAGGAAAGGCCGCAAAUCUCUGAUGAUGAAGAGAAGGUUCAGAACUCUGAUGAUGAUGAAAGGCCUCAGAUUUCUGAUGAUGAGGAAAGACUACAAAACUCCGAUGAGGAGAAAAUGCAGAACUCAGAUGAUGAAGAGAGGCCUCAGAUCUCUGAUGAGGAGAAGAUGCAGAAUUCUGAUGAUGACGAAAGGGCCCAGCAUUCUGAUGAGGAGAAGAUGCAGAAUUCUGAUGAUGACGAAAGGGCCCAGCAUUCUGAUGAGGAGAAGAUGCAGAAUUCUGAUGAUGACGAAAGGGCCCAGCAUUCUGAUGAAGAUCACAGGCGUUCAGAUGAUGAUGAGGAACAGGAGCAUAAAUCUGAGUCUGCAAGAGGCAGUGACAGUGAAGAUGAAAUUUUGCGAAUGAAACGUAAAAAACCAAUUGCAUCAGAUUCAGAAAUGGACAGCGAUGCAGAAGGACAAAAAGAUCACAGAGAUUCGAUAGAUCUGUUUGGAGGUGCAGAUGACAUUUCUUCAGGGAGUGAUGGGGAAGACAAGCCACCAACUCCAGGGCAACCUAUUGAUGAGAAUGGACUGAAUCAAGAGCAGCAGGAAGAAGAACCUAUUCCAGAAACGCGAAUAGAAGUAGAGAUACCAAAAGUAAACACUGACUUAGGAAAUGACUUGUAUUUUGUGAAGCUGCCCAACUUCCUCAGUGUGGAGCCCAGACCUUUUGAUCCUCAGUAUUAUGAGGAUGAAUUUGAAGAUGAGGAGAUGCUUGAUGAAGAAGGUAGAACCAGGUUAAAACUAAAGGUGGAAAACACCAUACGUUGGCGAAUGCGACGAGAUGAAGAAGGAAAUGAGAUUCGAGAAAGCAAUGCACGGAUAGUCAAGUGGUCAGAUGGAAGCAUGUCGCUGCAUUUGGGCAAUGAAGUCUUUGAUGUGUACAAGGCACCAUUACAAGGAGAUCACAACCAUCUGUUUAUCAGACAAGGAACUGGUCUACAGGGCCAGGCUGUGUUCAAGACUAAAUUAACCUUCAGGCCUCACUCUACGGACAGCGCCACCCACAGGAAGAUGACUUUGUCUCUUGCAGAUAGAUGUUCAAAGACCCAAAAAAUUCGUAUCUUGCCCAUGGCUGGCCGUGAUCCAGAGUCUCAGCGCACAGAAAUGAUUAAGAAAGAAGAGGAGAGGUUAAGAGCUUCUAUUCGCAGGGAAUCCCAGCAGCGGAGAAUGCGGGAGAAGCAGCAUCAGCGUGGGCUGAGUGCAAAUUAUUUAGAACCUGAUCGUUAUGAUGAGGAGGAUGAAGGAGAAGAGGCAAUCAGUCUGGCAGCUAUUAAAAACCGCUAUAAAGGUGGUAUAAGAGAGGAACGUGCUAGAAUCUAUUCUUCGGACAGUGAUGAGGGAUCAGAUGAAGACAGAACGCAGAGACUACUCAAGGCAAAGAAACUAACUAGUGAUGAGGAAGGUGAACCUUCUGGAAAGAGGAAAGCAGAGGAUGAUGACAAAGCAAGUAAAAAGCACAAGAAAUAUGUGAUCAGCGAUGAAGAGGAAGAUGAUGAUUAAAAUUGGGGAAAGAUGAAAGCUGAUGGCUUUUUAUAUAUAUAUUGUACAGUUCUUUUACAGCAAAGAUGAGAUUUGCCUGCUUGCAGUAUGUGACCAAAUAUUCAAUCAUUACUUUUGGCAAAGGAGUUGAUUUUAUUUGAAAGAGCCACAGAGUUACGUCAUACCACCAAAACAUCAUUCAUAAAUAUGUUUUAACCCAGAUAGUUGGCAUAUUACCUCCACCUGAAAGUACGAUGUCACCAUGGAGGCAAUAUUGGAGCUGCUCUGCAGUCCUAACAUAACUAUGGUUUGGUGUGGGGCCUGAACCCCCAGUUAAUUCCAAAGACCCAAAGGAAAUUUUGCAAGGAGAGCCUGUUACCAUUUCCUGUACCGAUGUUAGUCUUUCCUGUGUUGGAGACCAUCUGAUUUGUGUAUUGCUGGCUCAGUGGAAUUUUCUGACCAGCUAUAUUUCAAUCACCCACUAAACUGCUGCAGCCUCUCAAGGGCCAUGUAAAGACUGAAUAUCUGAAAUAAUAUGCUUCAUUUAAAGCCAUAGAUAUGUGCAGUGAUGUACAAAUCUCAUGCUCCUGGAACAGCAUAAUGUAUAGCUGGAUGUGUUGCAGCAAGCAUCAAAGCGAAAUGAUGUCUAGCCAUGUAUUGUUAUGGAGAGCCAAACUACUGUUUGCACCUUUGCACUACAGAUACCUUGUGAAACUCGGCAGCCCUGUGCUGUACCCUUUGUGAAGCUGGUAUGGUGACAACUGGAGCAAUUCCUGCUUUGCUGCAUAGAAAUCUUAGAAUGGCUUUAAGGUGUGAGGUUGGUGAAACUGCAAGAAGGAGCUGCAGAAAAAGAUUUUUAUUGCUGAAUUUAGAAAAGUAAUUAGAAUCAAAAGCUGAGCAUAAAUUGCUUGUUAAAGAGACUUUGUUUUGCAUAAUUAAAUUGUCACAUGACAGUU